CCUACGGGAGGCAGCAGUGGGGGAUAUUGCACAAUGGGGGGAACCCUGAUGCAGCGACGCCGCGUGGGUGAAGAAGCGCCUCGGCGCGUAAAGCCCUGUCAGCAGGGAAGAAAAUGACGGUACCUGAAGAAGAAGCCCCGGCUAACUACGUGCCAGCAGCCGCGGUUAUACGUAGGGGGCCAGCGUUAUCCGGAUUUACUGGGUGUAAAGGGGGCGCAGACGGCGGGGCAAGCCAGGAGUUAAAGCCCGGGGCGCAACCCCGGGACUGCUCUUGGAACUGCGUGGCUGGAGUGCAGGAGAGGCAGGCGGAAUUCCUGGUGUAGCGGUGAAAUGCAUAGAUAUCAGGAGGAACACCGGUUGCGAAGGCGGCCUGCUGGCCUGCAACUGACGUUGAGGCCCGAAAGCGUGGGGAGCAAACAGGAUUAGAUACCCUUGUAGUC
This 440-nucleotide ribosomal RNA is filed under the name uncultured bacterium. RNAcentral's name for it is "partial 16S ribosomal RNA". It matches the Rfam family "Bacterial small subunit ribosomal RNA", at positions 338 to 795 of the family's 1533-position model. The record is from RNAcentral.